GAUGAACGCUGGCGGCGUGCUUAACACAUGCAAGUCGAACGGAAAGGCUCCUGCUUGCAGGGGUACUCGAGUGGCGAACGGGUGAGUAACACGUGGGUGAUCUGCCCUGCACUUCGGGAUAAGCCUGGGAAACUGGGUCUAAUACCGGAUAGGACCACAUUUUGGAUGGUGUGGUGGAAAGUUUUUCGGUGUGGGAUGAGCUCGCGGCCUAUCAGCUUGUUGGUGGGGUAAUGGCCUACCAAGGCGUCGACGGGUAGCCGGCCUGAGAGGGUGUACGGCCACAUUGGGGCGGAGAUACGGCCCAGACUCCUACGGGAGGCAGCAGUGGGGAAUAUUGCACAAUGGGCGCAAGCCUGAUGCAGCGACGCCGCGUGGGGGAUGACGGCCUUCGGGUUGUAAACUCCUUUCGCUAGGGACGAAGCGUUUUUGUGACGGUACCUGGAGAAGAAGCACCGGCUAACUACGUG
This 467-nucleotide ribosomal RNA is filed under the name uncultured bacterium. RNAcentral's name for it is "partial 16S ribosomal RNA". It matches the Rfam family "Bacterial small subunit ribosomal RNA", at positions 28 to 507 of the family's 1533-position model. The record is from RNAcentral.